This 377-nucleotide long non-coding RNA is filed under the name Rattus norvegicus (Norway rat). RNAcentral describes it as "long non-coding RNA NONRATT025021". The record is from RNAcentral. Lineage: Eukaryota; Metazoa; Chordata; Mammalia; Rodentia; Muridae.
UCUGAGCGGGAGUCAGCCAUGGACUGGAAAGACGUGCUUCGUCGGCGGUUAGCGUCGCCCAACUCGGAUCCAAAGAGGAAAAAAAGCGAACAAGAAUUAAAAGAUGAAGAAAUGGAUUUGUUUACCAAAUACUACUCAGAAUGGAAAGGAGGUAGAAAAAACACAAAUGAAUUCUAUAAGACCAUUCCCCGGUUUUAUUACAGGUUGCCAGCUGAAGAUGAAGUCUUACUACAGAAAUUAAGAGAGGAAUCUAGAGCUGUCUUUCUACAGAGGAAAAGCAGAGAACUCUUAGAUAAUGAAGAAUUACAGGUAGGAGUGGUGUCAGAGUGGUUUAGAUGUUACCCAUUUACUUCUCCUAUGUAAGUCCUGCAGGAUGC